CACAAGAACACUUCUGAGGGCGUUUUGGGGUGGGCAGUGUUUCUGUGUGUGUGCCUCUCUGUGUGUAGAAAAUGUGUGUGUAAGACAUAUCCACACGAAGACUGCUGAGGGCAUUUGGGGUGGGCAGUGUGUGGUGUGUCUGUGUGUGUAGAAAGUGUUUAUGUGUAAGGCUCGUCCACAAGAAGACUGCUGAGGGCAUUUGGGGGAAACAAUGUUUCUCUCCCUCUCUCUGUAGAAAGUGUGUGUGUGUGUGUGUGUAAGAUUUGUCCAGGCUCCUGGGGGCCUUUGGGAAUGGGCAGUGUGCGUUUGUGUGGGUCGCGAUUGGGGUACCCUUUCUGAAGGUAGACGGGAGCAAGGAAAAGCCAGAGAAGCAACCAGGGGCGCGCGUGCCCCCCCCCACACAUCCCUCCAGGCACACGCGCGAGCGCGCAGCCUCCUCCUCCUCCUCCUCCUCCCCCCUCCCUGUUCUCUCCCUCUUCGCUCUCUCCUCAGAGCCAGCCCUCCUGUCACCAAUUGCUAGGAAUUUGAAUGAAGAGUGGUCCAGCGCUGCUGCCGCUGCUGUCUCCGCCGUCAUCGCCUCGUCCUCCUCCUCGUCCUCCUCCUCCUCCUCCUGCAGGAUCCCUCGUUGGGAUGCAAAACCUGAACUUGGAGAAGCAUCUCAGGCAAAGAAGCAGACGAAGAGCUUAGCAAUGAAUCCAUUGAAGCUCCAAUCCAUCAAAGAGCCCGAUCGACAAGGCACAGACCGUUCCUAAAUGUGAUUAAAUAUCUCUUUCUUCCAAAGCUCAGAGGAUACAGGGAUUUACCUAUCCUGGCUUCUUCACAAUUUGGUGUUCAAAGCACAGCCAUCUGGAGGAGGAAAUACAUGUAGAUCCAGUUAUGAGUUAGAGGUCUCUUGAUGGAUUUUUUUGCUGGUCUCCUUCCAUGACCCCAUCCCCAAGCAAGAAUCCAAUUCAAGGCUCCCCAGUGACUGCUUAUGUGUAAACAGUGUAUCUCAGCGCGACAAUGUGACAACAUGAGUGGUUUGUAGAUGUUAGCGCUUUAUCUUUCUGAUGUAAUGUUAAAACCAAGGUAUCUUGGCCUCUCUGUCGUAUUCCCCCCCAGUUGCUCAUGCAUUGCUGAAAUUCAGGCAGAUUGAAUGGCAGGAUUGUACCUCAUGACUUCAUCCUCAUUUGUAUGGGUAUUCUGUAUGCAUAGGGUGUGGAGCUGGGCAAUGGUAGGAACUGUCUGAUGAGUUAGAACCAGAAUGCAGCAACCCUAUAACACAUAUCAUAAGUGGUAAUUAAC
This is a long non-coding RNA of Sceloporus undulatus (fence lizard), 1284 nucleotides long. RefSeq lists it as uncharacterized. The record is from RefSeq and is a predicted model, not a curated record. NCBI's taxonomy places the organism in Eukaryota, Metazoa, Chordata, Lepidosauria, Squamata, Phrynosomatidae. The transcript is spliced from 4 exons.